This 507-nucleotide ribosomal RNA is filed under the name Eucephalobus oxyuroides. Its description in RNAcentral is "SSU rRNA". It matches the Rfam family "Eukaryotic small subunit ribosomal RNA", at positions 88 to 590 of the family's 1831-position model. The record is from RNAcentral. Lineage: Eukaryota; Metazoa; Nematoda; Chromadorea; Rhabditida; Cephalobidae.
CGCGAAUGGCUCAUUACAACAGCUAACAAAUCUACUUGAUCUUGACACAAUCCUACUUGGAUAACUGUGGUAAUUCUAGAGCUAAUACAUGCAUUAAAGCUCUGACCUUCGGGGAAGAGUGCAUUUAUUAGAACAAAACCAAGCGGCUUCGGCUGUUUUCGGUUGACUCAUAGUAACUGAGCUGAUCGCAUGGGCUUGUCCCGGCGACGUGUCUUUCAAGUAUCUGCCGUAUCAACUUUCGAUGGUAGUGUAAUUGACUACCAUGGUGAUCACGCGUAACGGAGAAUAAGGGUUCGGCUCCGGAGAGUUCGCCUGAGAAAUCGCGAACACAUCUAAGGAAGGCAGCAGGCGCGAAAAUUACCCACUCUCAGCACGAGGAGGUAGUGACGAAAAAUAACGAGACCGUUCUCUUUCGAGGCCGGUCAUCGGAAUGGGUACAAUUUAAACCCUUUAACGAGUAUCUAUGAGAGGGCAAGUCUGGUGCCAGCAGCCGCGGUAAUUCCAGCU